Molecule: ribosomal RNA, 506 nt
Filed under: uncultured bacterium
Lineage: Bacteria
Description: partial 16S ribosomal RNA
Rfam family: Bacterial small subunit ribosomal RNA
Source: RNAcentral
AUUGAACGCUGGCGGCAGGCCUAACACAUGCAAGUCGAGCGGUAGCACAAGGGAGCUUGCUCCCUGGGUGACGAGCGGCGGACGGGUGAGUAAUGUCUGGGAAACUGCCUGAUGGAGGGGGAUAACUACUGGAAACGGUAGCUAAUACCGCAUAACGUCUUCGGACCAAAGAGGGGGACCUUCGGGCCUCUUGCCAUCGGAUGUGCCCAGAUGGGAUUAGCUGGUAGGUGAGGUAAAGGCUCACCUAGGCGACGAUCCCUAGCUGGUCUGAGAGGAUGACCAGCCACACUGGAACUGAGACACGGUCCAGACUCCUACGGGAGGCAGCAGUGGGGAAUAUUGCACAAUGGGCGCAAGCCUGAUGCAGCCAUGCCGCGUGUGUGAAGAAGGCCUUCGGGUUGUAAAGCACUUUCAGCGGGGAGGAAGGGGGUAAGGUUAAUACCUUUACCCAUUGACGUUACCCGCAGAAGAAGCACCGGCUAACUCCGUGCCAGCCGCCGCGGUAA